Molecule: ribosomal RNA, 492 nt
Filed under: uncultured bacterium
Lineage: Bacteria
Description: partial 16S ribosomal RNA
Rfam family: Bacterial small subunit ribosomal RNA
Source: RNAcentral
AGUGAACGCUGGCGGUAGGCCUAACACAUGCAAGUCGAACGGCAGCACAGUAAGAGCUUGCUCUUACGGGUGGCGAGUGGCGGACGGGUGAGGAAUACAUCGGAAUCUACUUUUUCGUGGGGGAUAACGUAGGGAAACUUACGCUAAUACCGCAUACGACCUACGGGUGAAAGCAGGGGAUCUUCGGACCUUGCGCGAUUGAUUGAGCCGAUGUCGGAUUAGCUAGUUGGCGGGGUAAAGGCCCACCAAGGCGACGAUCCGUAGCUGGUCUGAGAGGAUGAUCAGCCACACUGUAACUGAGACACGGUCCAGACGCCUACGGGAGGCAGCAGUGGGGAAUAGUGGACAAUGGGCGCAAGCCUGAUCCAGCCAUGCCGCGUGGGUGAAGAAGGCCUUCGGGUUGUAAAGCCCUUUUGUUGGGAAAGAAAAGCAGCAGGUUAAUACCCCGCUGUUCUGACGGUACCCAAAGAAUAAGCACCGGCUAACUUCGUG